GUACAUAAGUGCUUGCGCACGACAAUAAUUUCAUUACAUUCGAGUGUGUAUGUAGAAAAUCCUCUGCCAGCCGUGAAGCUAGCAAGAGGCCAAGGGUUCACAAGGGUAUUGGAAUGAAAGUCACCGACGUGCACUUGCUUGCAAGAGCCAGCCAGCACAGAAGGCAACAGUUUACAAUCAAUAAUGAUCCUUCCGCAGGUUCACCUACGGAAA
RNAcentral lists this unclassified non-coding RNA (213 nucleotides) under uncultured fungus. RNAcentral's name for it is "sequence contains ITS1". Lineage: Eukaryota; Fungi. The record is from RNAcentral.